This 347-nucleotide transfer-messenger RNA is filed under the name Bacillota bacterium. Its description in RNAcentral is "Firmicutes bacterium (hot springs metagenome) transfer-messenger RNA". It matches the Rfam family "transfer-messenger RNA". From Rfam's summary of the family: Bacterial tmRNA, also known as 10Sa RNA or SsrA, is named for its dual tRNA and mRNA-like properties. The record is from RNAcentral. Lineage: Bacteria; Bacillati; Bacillota.
GGGGGCGAAAUGGUUUCGACGGGGGAAUUGGUGCCGGGAGGAGCGAGCCGGGGUUCCACUUGCCCGUAAAACGGUGGAAAAACAAUAACUGCCAACAACGAAUACGCUCUAGCGGCUUAAAGCCGCUCAUCCUGCCCGCCUUCGUCCGCGGGGUGGAACAGGGUGUAACCACAGCGGACUGGUCUGGCGGCCCUCACCCGGAAGCCACCGGAGACCUCACACGGGUCGGCGGUACCGGAGCCUGGCGGUGGGCGCCGGGAUCGCGGGAUUAAAGCACUGCCUGCGCUCGGAGAGUCUCCCGGGGUCAUUCUUUCGGACGGUGGGUUCGACUCCCCCCGCCUCCACCA